This 465-nucleotide ribosomal RNA is filed under the name Vreelandella stevensii. RNAcentral's name for it is "partial 16S ribosomal RNA". It matches the Rfam family "Bacterial small subunit ribosomal RNA", at positions 338 to 795 of the family's 1533-position model. Lineage: Bacteria; Pseudomonadati; Pseudomonadota; Gammaproteobacteria; Oceanospirillales; Halomonadaceae. The record is from RNAcentral.
CCUACGGGUGGCAGCAGUGGGGAAUAUUGGACAAUGGGCGAAAGCCUGAUCCAGCCAUGCCGCGUGUGUGAAGAAGGCCUUCGGGUUGUAAAGCACUUUCAGUGGGGAAGAAAGCCUUGGGGCUAAUACCCUCGAGGAAGGACAUCACCCACAGAAGAAGCACCGGCUAACUCCGUGCCAGCAGCCGCGGUAAUACGGAGGGUGCGAGCGUUAAUCGGAAUUACUGGGCGUAAAGCGCGCGUAGGCGGUCUGAUAAGCCGGUUGUGAAAGCCCCGGGCUCAACCUGGGAACGGCAUCCGGAACUGUCAGGCUAGAGUGCAGCAGAGGAAGGUAGAAUUCCCGGUGUAGCGGUGAAAUGCGUAGAGAUCGGGAGGAAUACCAGUGGCGAAGGCGGCCUUCUGGACUGACACUGACGCUGAGGUGCGAAAGCGUGGGUAGCAAACAGGAUUAGAUACCCCGGUAGUC